This 385-nucleotide ribosomal RNA is filed under the name uncultured bacterium. Its description in RNAcentral is "bacterial SSU rRNA". It matches the Rfam family "Bacterial small subunit ribosomal RNA", at positions 355 to 732 of the family's 1533-position model. The record is from RNAcentral.
UCGAGAAUCAUUCACAAUGGGGGCAACCCUGAUGGUGCAACGCCGCGUGGAGGAAGAAGGUCUUCGGAUUGUAAACUCCUGUCAUCUAGGAGCAAGGCAUGGUGGUGAAUAGCCAACAUGAUUGAUAGUACUAGAAGAGGAAGGGACGGCUAACUUCGUGCCAGCAGCCGCGGUAAUACGAAGGUCCCGAGCGUUAUUCGGAAUCACUGGGCGUAAAGGGAGCGUAGGCGGCGUGGAAAGUCAGAUGUGAAAUCCCAGAGCUUAACUCUGGAACUGCAUCCGAUACUACCAUGCUAGAGUAUUGGAGGGGUAACUGGAAUUCUCGGUGUAGCAGUGAAAUGCGUAGAUAUCGAGAGGAACACUCGUGGCGAAAGCGAGUUACUGG